Molecule: non-coding RNA, 32 nt
Filed under: Geobacter sulfurreducens KN400
Lineage: Bacteria; Pseudomonadati; Thermodesulfobacteriota; Desulfuromonadia; Geobacterales; Geobacteraceae
Source: RNAcentral
ACGCUGGGCUUACCACCGCCACGUCCAUCGUU